Molecule: non-coding RNA, 91 nt
Filed under: Staphylococcus auricularis
Lineage: Bacteria; Bacillati; Bacillota; Bacilli; Caryophanales; Staphylococcaceae
Description: TPP riboswitch (THI element)
Rfam family: TPP riboswitch aptamer (THI element)
About the family: Vitamin B(1) in its active form thiamin pyrophosphate (TPP) is an essential coenzyme that is synthesised by coupling of pyrimidine and thiazole moieties in bacteria. The previously detected thiamin-regulatory element, thi box was extended, resulting in a new, highly conserved RNA secondary structure, the THI element, which is widely distributed in eubacteria and also occurs in some archaea.
Source: RNAcentral
GCACUAGGGGUGUUUUAAAACUGAGAUGAGGGCAACCUCAAACCCUUUGAACCUGAUCUAGAUGAAGCUAGCGGAGGAAAGUGUUUUUAAU